CAUUCAAUCUUUUUAGCAUCUUUAAGAAAAAGUAUUUCCAAUGUAAGCCUCACGUUUAUCUUUUGUGUAGCUAAUUAACUGUUGCAGGUCCAAUUAUUUACGUACAAGCUUUCUUUAGCAAUUUAUCAAAAAAUAUCAUAUCAUCAUUUGUGUUGCCAGAAAGGUUGCCUGAGGGGUAAGAAAUCUUUUAUAUUAUUGGAGUGGUCAAUAAGGUAUAGAGAAAUAUUGUAAAAAAUAAAGCUGCUUAAAAUAUUAAAAGAGGCCUACAGAAAGCAUUUUUAAGAAGUUUAGCCAAACACUCACGGUAUAUAACUCUACUUUCUGAAAUUUGAAAUAAGUCCAUAUAUCGAAUAUUUAUGCUGUGCUCAAACGCAACUCGAUCCAGAAAUAGAAUAUUAAAGUGCUAAAAUUUACGGCAAUCGCACUGACAGGAAAAACCAGACAGUAAAACCUGACUCGGAGAAACGAGUAGGUUGAUUGAGUGUUCGGGUUUUGAGGGGUACUUAAAUUUUUAAGUUGAAAAGGAAAGGAAAAAGUAGAGAAAUCCCGUGACGUUGAUUAGAAACAAAGAAGAAAUAACAACUCCGAGCUAGCAAGCACUUUCAUAAGUUUGUUUCGAUUAUCCCUAAUAAGUGGAGAUUUAGUACAAGGCAAUCACUCAAUCAUAUACUAAAGAACCACUAUCUUAUGUCACCCACCAUACGCCAUACAUAGCACGGCUCCCCAG
This 727-nucleotide long non-coding RNA is filed under the name Daucus carota (carrot). RNAcentral's name for it is "long non-coding RNA (DCAR_LNC001499)". Lineage: Eukaryota; Viridiplantae; Streptophyta; Magnoliopsida; Apiales; Apiaceae. The record is from RNAcentral.